This 253-nucleotide ribosomal RNA is filed under the name uncultured bacterium. Its description in RNAcentral is "partial 16S ribosomal RNA". It matches the Rfam family "Bacterial small subunit ribosomal RNA", at positions 524 to 776 of the family's 1533-position model. The record is from RNAcentral.
UACGGAGGGGGCUAGCGUUGUUCGGAAUUACUGGGCGUAAAGCGCACGUAGGCGGAUUGUUAAGUGAGGGGUGAAAUCCCAGGGCUCAACCCUGGAACUGCCUUUCAUACUGGCAAUCUUGAGUCCGGAAGAGGUGAGUGGAACUCCUAGUGUAGAGGUGGAAUUCGUAGAUAUUAGGAAGAACACCAGUGGCGAAGGCGGCUCACUGGUCCGGUACUGACGCUGAGGUGCGAAAGCGUGGGGAGCAAACAGG